RNAcentral lists this ribosomal RNA (999 nucleotides) under human gut metagenome. RNAcentral's name for it is "bacterial LSU rRNA". It matches the Rfam family "Bacterial large subunit ribosomal RNA", at positions 1923 to 2925 of the family's 2925-position model. The record is from RNAcentral.
GUAAACGGCGGCCGUAACUAUAACGGUCCUAAGGUAGCGAAAUUCCUUGUCGGGUAAGUUCCGACCCGCACGAAAGGCGUAAUGAUUUGGGCACUGUCUCAACGAGGGGCCCGGUGAAAUUGAAAUACCUGUGAAGAUGCAGGUUACCCGCGACUGGACAGAAAGACCCCAUGGAGCUUCACUGCAGCUUGAGAUUGAAUCCCGGUGACAGAUGCACAGGAUAGGUGGGAGGCGCCGAAGCAUUGCCCUAGGGCGGUGCGGAGCCGAUGUUGGGAUACCACCCUUCUGUUGCUGAGAUUCUAACGCGAGGAGUAACGACCCUGCGGACCCUCUCAGGCAGGCGGUUUGACUGGGGCGGUCGCCUCCGAAAGAGUAACGGAGGCGCCCAAAGGUUCCCUCAGGCCGGACAGAAACCGGCCGAAGAGUGCAAAGGCAGAAGGGAGCUUGACUGCGAGACCAACAAGUCGAGCAGGGACGAAAGUCGGGCUUAGUGAUCCGGUGGUACUGGGUGGAAAGGCCAUCGCUCAACGGAUAAAAGCUACCCUGGGGAUAACAGGCUAAUCUCUCCCAAGAGUCCAUAUCGACGGGGAGGUUUGGCACCUCGAUGUCGGCUCAUCACAUCCUGGGGCUGGAGUAGGUCCCAAGGGUUGGGCUGUUCGCCCAUUAAAGUGGUACGCGAGCUGGGUUCAAAACGUCGUGAGACAGUUUGGUUCAUAUCCAUCGCGGGCGCAAGAAGUUUGAGAGGAGCUGCUCCUAGUACGAGAGGACCGGAGUGGACGGAUCAACGGUGUCCCAGUUGUCACGCCAGUGGCACGGCUGGAAAGCCGCAUCCGGGAAGGAUAAAUGCUGAAAGCAUCUAAGCGUGAAGCCAACCUCAAGAUGAGACUUCUCAUCAGCAAUGAGUAAGACCCCUUACAGACGAUGAGGUAGAUAGGUUAUGAGUGGAAGAGCCGCAAGGCUUGGAGCGACAUAAAACUAAUAGGUCGAGGUCUUAACUUA